CCUACGGGAGGCAGCAGUCGGGAAUCUUGCGCAAUGGGCGAAAGCCUGACGCAGCAACACCGUGUGAGCGACGAAGGCCUUCGGGUCGUAAAGCUCUGUUGUUGGGGACGAAGGGCGAGGGGUUAAUAGCCCUGAGCCUGACGGUACCCUUCGAGGAAGCCCCGGCUAACUACGUGCCAGCAGCCGCGGUAAUACGUAGGGGGCGAGCGUUGUCCGGAAUCAUUGGGCGUAAAGAGCGUGUAGGCGGCUCGGUAAGUCCGCCGUGAAAACCCGGGGCUCAACCCCGGGCGUGCGGUGGAUACUGUCGGGCUAGAGGAUGGUAGAGGGGAGUGGAAUUCCCGGUGUAGCGGUGAAAUGCGCAGAUAUCGGGAGGAACACCAGUAGCGAAGGCGGCUCCCUGGGCCAUUCCUGACGCUGAGACGCGAAAGCGUGGGGAGCGAACAGGAUUAGAUACCCUGGUAGUCCACGCCGUAAACGAUGAACACUAGGUGUGGGGGGAGUCGAAUCCCUCUGUGCCGCAGCCAACGCGAUAAGUGUUCCGCCUGGGGAGUACGGCCGCAAGGCUAAAACCCAAAGGAAUUGACGGGGGCCCGCACAAGCAGCGGAGCAUGUUCUUUAAUUCGAUGCAACGCGAAGAACCUUACCUGGGCUUGACAUGGCGCUGCAAGCGCACGGAAACGUGUGACCUUCGAGGGUGCGCCACAGGUGCUGCAUGGCUGUCGUCAGCUCGUGUCGUGAGAUGUUGGGUUAAGUCCCGCAACGAGCGCAACCCCCGUGGCGUGUUGCCAGCAUUUAGUUGGGGACUCACGCCAGACUGCCGGUGACAAACCGGAGGAGGGGGGGAUGACGUCAAGUCAUCAUGGCCCUUACGCCCAGGGCUAGAAACGUGCUACAAUGGCUGUUACAAAGGGUAGCAGACCGCAAGGUGGAGCGAAUCUCAUCAAAAACAGUCUAAGUUCGGAUCGGGUCUGCAACUCGACCCGUGAAGCGGAGUUGCUAGUAUUCGCGAUCAGCACGCCGCGGUGAAUACGUUCCCGGG
RNAcentral lists this ribosomal RNA (1039 nucleotides) under uncultured bacterium. RNAcentral's name for it is "bacterial SSU rRNA". It matches the Rfam family "Bacterial small subunit ribosomal RNA", at positions 338 to 1378 of the family's 1533-position model. The record is from RNAcentral.